GCUUAUGGCCAUACCACCCUGAGCACGCCUGAUCUCGUUCGAUCUCGGAAGCUAAGCAGGGUCGGGCCUGGUUAGUACUUGGAUGGGAGACUGCCUAGGAAUACCAGGUGCUGUAAGCU
Ribosomal RNA from Betta splendens (Siamese fighting fish), 119 nucleotides. NCBI's taxonomy places the organism in Eukaryota, Metazoa, Chordata, Actinopteri, Anabantiformes, Osphronemidae. The record is from Ensembl.